UACAGAGGGGACAAGCGUUGUUCGGAAUUACUGGGCGUAAAGCGCACGUAGGCGGCUUUGUAAGUUAGAGGUGAAAGCCCGGGGCUCAACCCCGGAAUUGCCUUUAAGACUGCAUCGCUUGAACGUCGGAGAGGUGAGUGGAAUUCCGAGUGUAGAGGUGAAAUUCGUAGAUAUUCGGAAGAACACCAGUGGCGAAGGCGGCAUCCUGGACCGACAUUGACGCUGAGGCGCGAAAGCCAGGGGAGCAAACGGG
Molecule: ribosomal RNA, 253 nt
Filed under: uncultured bacterium
Lineage: Bacteria
Description: partial 16S ribosomal RNA
Rfam family: Bacterial small subunit ribosomal RNA
Source: RNAcentral